This 200-nucleotide ribosomal RNA is filed under the name uncultured bacterium. RNAcentral's name for it is "partial 16S ribosomal RNA". It matches the Rfam family "Bacterial small subunit ribosomal RNA", at positions 8 to 219 of the family's 1533-position model. The record is from RNAcentral.
AGAGUUUGAUCCUGGCUCAGCCUGAACGCUGGCGGCGUGGCUAAGACAUGCAAGUCGUACGGUGUAGCAAUACACAGUGGCGAACGGGUGAGUAAUGAAUCGCUAAUGUACCCCGGACUUUGGGAUAGCUGCCCGAAAGGGCAGGUAAUACCAGAUAAUAUAACUCUGUCGCAUGAUAGAGUUCUCAAAGGUCCGCCGGU